CUGUGAGUCCACUUGGGUCACGGGAUUAUCAAUUGGAAGGCGUCACAGUUCUGAGCACUUCCCGCAGGGCGCACCCAAGUGCGCAUUCAUCUGUGCGCUGCGCUGGGCGCACCUCCAAACAAGCUACUGCGCGCACCACUCCGGCUGCAGCAAGCAGCUGCUUUCCAUCAGCACUCAACACACCUGUCGCUGAUGAGCUCCCUCGGCUUCUUAAGCCAGUGCAGACCGGCGUUCCGGGCCAGAACUUAGCGACUUGUUCCUGUACACAUUCCUCCGUUCCCGCGUCACCAGAUGUGUGUCUCGUCUCCCCGUAUUCCCUCCGGUUCCCUGGCUGCCUCUUGGAUCUCGACCUCCCGCCUGGACACAGACUUUGGCGCCUUGCCCCUGCC
Molecule: long non-coding RNA, 389 nt
Organism: Entelurus aequoreus (snake pipefish)
Lineage: Eukaryota; Metazoa; Chordata; Actinopteri; Syngnathiformes; Syngnathidae
Exons: 3
Source: RefSeq, a predicted model, not a curated record